This 229-nucleotide ribosomal RNA is filed under the name uncultured bacterium. Its description in RNAcentral is "partial 16S ribosomal RNA". It matches the Rfam family "Bacterial small subunit ribosomal RNA", at positions 568 to 796 of the family's 1533-position model. The record is from RNAcentral.
UGCGCAGGCGGAAGAAUAAGUCAGUGGUGAAAUACUGCCGCUCAACGGUAGGGCUGCCAUUGAUACUGUUUUUCUUGAGUAUGGUUGAGGUAGGCGGAAUGUGCGGUGUAGCGGUGAAAUGCAUAGAUAUCGCCCAGAACGCCGAUUGCGAAGGCAGCUUACUAAACCAUUACUGACGCUGAGGCACGAAGGCGUGGGUAGCGAACAGGAUUAGAUACCCUGGUAGUCC